CCUACGUGAGGCAGCAGUGAGGAAUAUUGGUCAAUGGGCGAGAGCCUGAACCAGCCAAGUCGCGUGAAGGAUGACGGCCCUACGGGUUGUAAACUUCUUUUGUCAGGGAGCAAUUGGGUCCACGCGUGGGCUUAGCGAGAGUACCUGAAGAAAAAGCAUCGGCUAACUCCGUGCCAGCAGCCGCGGUAAUACGUAGGGGGCAAGCGUUACCCGGAUUUACUGGGUGUAAAGGGGGCGCAGACGGCAAUGCAAGCCAGGAGUGAAAGCCCGGGGCCCAACCCCGGGACUGCUCUUGGAACUGCAUGGCUGGAGUACAGGAGGGGCAGGCGGAAUUCCUAGUGUAGCGGCGAAAUGCGUAGAUAUUAGGAGGAACACCGGUGGCGAAGGCGGCCUGCUGGACUGUGACUGACGUUGAGGCCCGAAGGCGUGGGGAGCAAACAGGAUUAGAUACCCCGGUAGUC
RNAcentral lists this ribosomal RNA (461 nucleotides) under uncultured bacterium. RNAcentral describes it as "partial 16S ribosomal RNA". It matches the Rfam family "Bacterial small subunit ribosomal RNA", at positions 338 to 795 of the family's 1533-position model. The record is from RNAcentral.